This 1556-nucleotide ribosomal RNA is filed under the name Salmonella enterica subsp. enterica serovar Hadar str. SA20026260. RNAcentral's name for it is "bacterial SSU rRNA". It matches the Rfam family "Bacterial small subunit ribosomal RNA". Lineage: Bacteria; Pseudomonadati; Pseudomonadota; Gammaproteobacteria; Enterobacterales; Enterobacteriaceae. The record is from RNAcentral.
UUAAAUUGAAGAGUUUGAUCAUGGCUCAGAUUGAACGCUGGCGGCAGGCCUAACACAUGCAAGUCGAACGGUAACAGGAAGCAGCUUGCUGCUUUGCUGACGAGUGGCGGACGGGUGAGUAAUGUCUGGGAAACUGCCUGAUGGAGGGGGAUAACUACUGGAAACGGUGGCUAAUACCGCAUAACGUCGCAAGACCAAAGAGGGGGACCUUCGGGCCUCUUGCCAUCAGAUGUGCCCAGAUGGGAUUAGCUAGUUGGUGAGGUAACGGCUCACCAAGGCGACGAUCCCUAGCUGGUCUGAGAGGAUGACCAGCCACACUGGAACUGAGACACGGUCCAGACUCCUACGGGAGGCAGCAGUGGGGAAUAUUGCACAAUGGGCGCAAGCCUGAUGCAGCCAUGCCGCGUGUAUGAAGAAGGCCUUCGGGUUGUAAAGUACUUUCAGCGGGGAGGAAGGUGUUGUGGUUAAUAACCGCAGCAAUUGACGUUACCCGCAGAAGAAGCACCGGCUAACUCCGUGCCAGCAGCCGCGGUAAUACGGAGGGUGCAAGCGUUAAUCGGAAUUACUGGGCGUAAAGCGCACGCAGGCGGUCUGUCAAGUCGGAUGUGAAAUCCCCGGGCUCAACCUGGGAACUGCAUUCGAAACUGGCAGGCUUGAGUCUUGUAGAGGGGGGUAGAAUUCCAGGUGUAGCGGUGAAAUGCGUAGAGAUCUGGAGGAAUACCGGUGGCGAAGGCGGCCCCCUGGACAAAGACUGACGCUCAGGUGCGAAAGCGUGGGGAGCAAACAGGAUUAGAUACCCUGGUAGUCCACGCCGUAAACGAUGUCUACUUGGAGGUUGUGCCCUUGAGGCGUGGCUUCCGGAGCUAACGCGUUAAGUAGACCGCCUGGGGAGUACGGCCGCAAGGUUAAAACUCAAAUGAAUUGACGGGGGCCCGCACAAGCGGUGGAGCAUGUGGUUUAAUUCGAUGCAACGCGAAGAACCUUACCUGGUCUUGACAUCCACAGAAGAAUCCAGAGAUGGAUUUGUGCCUUCGGGAACUGUGAGACAGGUGCUGCAUGGCUGUCGUCAGCUCGUGUUGUGAAAUGUUGGGUUAAGUCCCGCAACGAGCGCAACCCUUAUCCUUUGUUGCCAGCGAUUAGGUCGGGAACUCAAAGGAGACUGCCAGUGAUAAACUGGAGGAAGGUGGGGAUGACGUCAAGUCAUCAUGGCCCUUACGACCAGGGCUACACACGUGCUACAAUGGCGCAUACAAAGAGAAGCGACCUCGCGAGAGCAAGCGGACCUCAUAAAGUGCGUCGUAGUCCGGAUUGGAGUCUGCAACUCGACUCCAUGAAGUCGGAAUCGCUAGUAAUCGUGGAUCAGAAUGCCACGGUGAAUACGUUCCCGGGCCUUGUACACACCGCCCGUCACACCAUGGGAGUGGGUUGCAAAAGAAGUAGGUAGCUUAACCUUCGGGAGGGCGCUUACCACUUUGUGAUUCAUGACUGGGGUGAAGUCGUAACAAGGUAACCGUAGGGGAACCUGCGGUUGGAUCACCUCCUUACCUUAAAGAAGC